UCCUUCCUUGGGAUCCGUGCCGUAGCUAACGCAUUAAGUACCCCGCCUGGGGAGUACGGCCGCAAGGCUAAAACUCAAAGAAAUUGACGGGGGCCCGCACAAGCGGCGUAGCAUGUGGAUUAAUUCGAUGCAACGCGAAGAACCUUACCUGGGUUUGACAUGCACAGGACGACGGCAGAGAUGUCGUUUCCCUUGUGGCCUGUGUGCAGGUGGUGCAUGGCUGUCGUCAGCUCGUGUCGUGAGAUGUUGGGUUAAGUCCCGCAACGAGCGCAACCCUUGUCUCAUGUUGCCAGCGGGUAAUGCCGGGGACUCGUGAGAGACUGCCGGGGUCAACUCGGAGGAAGGUGGGGAUGACGUCAAGUCAUCAUGCCCCUUAUGUCCAGGGCUUCACACAUGCUACAAUGGCCGGUACAAAGGGCUGCGAAGCCGUGAGGUGGAGCGAAUCCUUUAGAGCCGGUCUCAGUUCGGAUCGGGGUCUGCAACUCGACCCCGUGAAGUCGGAGUCGCUAGUAAUCGCAGAUCAGCAACGCUGCGGUGAAUACGUUCCCGGGCCUUGUACACACCGCCCGUCACGUCAUGAAAGUCGGUAACACCCGAAGCCGGGGCCUAACCGUAAGGGAG
Molecule: ribosomal RNA, 621 nt
Filed under: uncultured Actinomycetes bacterium
Lineage: Bacteria; Bacillati; Actinomycetota; Actinomycetes
Description: bacterial SSU rRNA
Rfam family: Bacterial small subunit ribosomal RNA
Source: RNAcentral